GACGAACGCUGGCGGCGUGCUUAACACAUGCAAGUCGAACGGAAAGGCCUGCUUUCCCUUGUGGAUUGCGGGUACUCGAGUGGCGAACGGGUGAGUAACACGUGAGUGAUCUGCCCCCAACUUGGGUAUAAGCCUGGGAAACUGGGUCUAAUUCCCGAUAGGACUGCAGGGUGGUGCCUGUGGUGGAAAACGAUUUUCUAGUGGUUGGGGAUGAGCUCGCGGCCUAUCAGCUUGUUGGUGGGGUAAUGGCCUACCAAGGCGGCGACGGGUAGCCGGCCUGGGAGGGUGGACGGCCACAUUGGGACUGAGAUACGGCCCAGACUCCUACGGGAGGCAGCAGUGGGGAAUAUUGCACAAUGGGCGGAAGCCUGAUGCAGCGACGCAGCGUGGGGGAUGACGGCCUUCGGGUUGUAAACUCCUUUCGACCGCGAGGAAGCCACCUGGUUGGAAGGGUGGUGACGGUAGUGGUAGAAGAAGCACCGGCUAACUACGUG
RNAcentral lists this ribosomal RNA (494 nucleotides) under uncultured bacterium. RNAcentral's name for it is "partial 16S ribosomal RNA". It matches the Rfam family "Bacterial small subunit ribosomal RNA", at positions 28 to 507 of the family's 1533-position model. The record is from RNAcentral.